CGCGACCCCAGGUCAGGCGGGAUAACCCGCUGAGUUUAAGCAUAUCAAUAAGCGGAGGAAAAGAAACUUACGAGGAUUCCCCUAGUAACGCCGAGCGAACCGGGAAU
RNAcentral lists this ribosomal RNA (107 nucleotides) under Omphalocarpum pachysteloides. RNAcentral's name for it is "partial 28S ribosomal RNA". It matches the Rfam family "Eukaryotic large subunit ribosomal RNA", at positions 1 to 105 of the family's 3401-position model. The record is from RNAcentral. Lineage: Eukaryota; Viridiplantae; Streptophyta; Magnoliopsida; Ericales; Sapotaceae.